UACGAAGGUGGCAAGCGUUGUUCGGAAUUACUGGGCGUAAAGCGUGCGUAGGCGGUUUGUUAAGUCUGAUGUGAAAGCCCUGGGCUCAACCUGGGAAUUGCAUUGGAUACUGGCAGGCUAGAGUGCGGUAGAGGAUGGCGGAAUUCCCGGUGUAGCAGUGAAAUGCGUAGAGAUCGGGAGGAACAUCUGUGGCGAAGGCGGCCAUCUGGACCAGCACUGACACUGAGGCACGAAAGCGUGGGGAGCAAACAGG
Molecule: ribosomal RNA, 253 nt
Filed under: uncultured bacterium
Lineage: Bacteria
Description: partial 16S ribosomal RNA
Rfam family: Bacterial small subunit ribosomal RNA
Source: RNAcentral